Molecule: unclassified non-coding RNA, 2128 nt
Filed under: Hevea brasiliensis (rubber tree)
Lineage: Eukaryota; Viridiplantae; Streptophyta; Magnoliopsida; Malpighiales; Euphorbiaceae
Source: RNAcentral
GACAAAACCAGUGAUAGAGGUUGCUUUCAAAGAUUUAACCCUUACUUUGAAAGGUAAAAAAAAACAUCUUCUUAGAUGUGUCACUGGGAAACUCAUGCCAGGCCGAGUUUCCGCUAUCAUGGGUCCAUCAGGAGCUGGCAAGACAACAUUUCUUUCUGCUUUGGCAGGAAAAGUAACUGGAUGCACCAUGAAAGGUGUAAUUCUCAUAAACGGUAAAAAUGAAUCCAUUCAUUCCUAUAAGAAAAUUACUGGUUUUGUGCCACAAGAUGAUAUCGUGCAUGGAAACUUGACAGUGGAAGAGAAUCUCCGAUUCAGUGCAAGAUGCAGAUUAUCUGCUGAUAUGCCUAAAGCUGACAAGGUUCUGGUAAUUGAAAGAGUUAUCGAGUCCUUGGGAUUACAGGCAGUAAGAGAUUCUUUGGUUGGGACAGUGGAGAAGCGAGGAAUUUCUGGAGGCCAGAGGAAACGUGUGAAUGUUGGACUUGAAAUGGUCAUGGAACCUUCGCUAUUGAUUUUGGAUGAGCCCACAUCAGGUUUGGACAGCGCAUCUUCUCUGUUGCUUCUAAAAGCACUACGACGUGAAGCUCUUGAAGGGGUAAACAUCAGCAUGGUAAUCCAUCAGCCUAGCUAUGCCCUGUUCAAGAUGUUUGACGAUUUAAUACUUCUGGCAAAAGGUGGUCUUACUGUGUAUCAUGGUCCUGUAAAGAAAGUUGAAGAAUACUUUGCUGGCCUUGGGAUUAUUGUACCAGAGCGUGUUACUCCGCCAGACCACUUCAUUGACAUUCUGGAGGGUAUAGUAAAACCAAACUCAAAUGUAACUCAUGAACAGCUGCCUAUCAGAUGGAUGCUACAUAAUGGGUAUCCAGUGCCCCCCGAUAUGCUGCAUUAUGCAGAUACACUUGGUACAGCCUCAACAGACUCAAAUACAGAUGAUAUAGAAGAUACUAGCGGUGCAGCUAUUGAACAGUCUUUCGCUGGAGAUUUGUGGGAGGACAUGAAAUCUAAUGUUGAGCUACAGAAAGAUCAUAUACAACACAUCUUUUUGAAGUCUAAGGACUUAUCCAACAGAAGAACUCCUGGUGUAACCCGCCAGUUAAGAUAUUUCCUUGGGAGGAUUGGCAAGCAACGACUACGAGAAGCUAGACUACAUGCAGUUGAUUAUGUGAUUCUAUUACUAGCUGGAGCAUGUUUAGGAACUCUUACAAAAGUGGAUGAUGAAACAUUUGGGACCACGGGCUAUACUUUUACUGUCAUUUCUGUUUCAUUGCUUUGCAAGAUUGCAGCAUUAAGAUCAUUUUCUUUGGACAAAUUGCACUACUGGAGAGAGAGUGCAUCUGGAAUCAGCAGUCUUGCCUAUUUUCUAUCUAGAGAUACACUUGACCAUUUUAAUACAAUUGUCAAACCUUUGGUUUAUUUAUCCAUGUUCUAUUUCUUCAACAACCCUAGAUCAACUUUUACUGACAAUUACGUUGUUUUGGUCUGCCUUGUGUACUGUGUGACUGGCAUAGCUUAUGUACUUGCGAUCUAUCUUGCACCUAGUCCUGCCCAACUGUGGUCAGUACUUAUCCCCGUUGUCCUGACUCUCGUUGCAACUCAGGAGCAACAAAGUGUAUUUGUGAAGUUUUUGGGAAAUUUGUGCUACCCAAAAUGGGCAAUGGAAGCCUUUAUCAUUGCAAAUGCUGAAAGGUAUUCUGGGGUCUGGCUUUUAACUCGCUGCCACUCGUUGUUGUCAAACAGCUAUAAUAUUGGACACUGGAAUCUUUCUCUACAACUUCUCAUUCUUACCGGCAUACUCAGCCGUUUUGUAGCUUACUUUCUGCUAGUCACCUUCCAAAAGAAGUGAAUUGGGAAUUUAACCCUUCAUGUUCAUGUAGUAUUUUGCUAUAUAGAAGAUUAGAGAAGUGCAGUCUUCAUACACUAGUAUUAUAAGAACCCAGCAUGGUAUAGAACAGUACAACACAAACUCCUCCAAGUGACCCAGAACAGGAUACAGUUGGCUAACAAAACAAAUUAUUCAGUGUAGAGUCAGGUGUAAUGACCCAACUUAGGUUUUGUGAUCAUUUUCUUGUGUACAUUUACCCCUCUUAUGGGGAAGAAUGAAAGGGAAAUUGACAUUUUAUGUCUAGUUUUG